This 253-nucleotide ribosomal RNA is filed under the name uncultured bacterium. Its description in RNAcentral is "partial 16S ribosomal RNA". It matches the Rfam family "Bacterial small subunit ribosomal RNA", at positions 524 to 776 of the family's 1533-position model. The record is from RNAcentral.
CACGUAUGGGGCGAGCGUUGCUCGGAAUUAUUGGGCGUAAAGCGCACGUAGGCGGCAUUGCAAGUCGGAUGUGAAAUCCCUCGGCUUAACCAAGGAAGUGCAUCCGAAACUGCAGUGCUUGAGUACUUAAGAGGAUCGCGGAAUUCCCGGUGUAGAGGUGAAAUUCGUAGAUAUCGGGAGGAACACCAGUGGCGAAGGCGGCGAUCUGGGAAGAUACUGACGCUGAGGUGCGAAAGCGUGGGGAGCAAACAGG